This 892-nucleotide ribosomal RNA is filed under the name uncultured archaeon. RNAcentral describes it as "bacterial SSU rRNA". It matches the Rfam family "Archaeal small subunit ribosomal RNA", at positions 1 to 879 of the family's 1478-position model. The record is from RNAcentral.
UUCCGGUUGAUCCUGCCGGACCCGACUGCUAUUUGGGUGAGAAUAAGCCAUGCGAGUCGAAUGGGAUACCUAAAUCUCCCAUGGCAAACUGCUCAGUAACACAUGAUCAACUUACCCUAUAGAGAAAAAUAACCUCGGGAAACUGAGGAUAAUGUUUCAUAGUUGAAUAGGCUUGGAAAAGUUUUUCAAUAAAAGGGAUAAGGAAAAUGGUCCUUAUACGCUAUAGGAUAGGAUCGUGUUCGAUUAUGGUUGUUGGUGAGGUAACGGCUCACCAAGCCGAUAAUCGAUAGGGGCCGUGAGAGCGGGAGCCCCGAGAUGGGUACUGAGACAACGACCCAGGCCUUACGAGGCGCAGCAGGCGCGGAACCUCCGCAAUACACGAAAGUGUGAUGGGGUUACCCAAAGUGUUCUAUUAAGAACUGUGGUAGGUGAGUAAUGUUCCCUACUAGAAAGGAGAGGGCAAGGCUGGUGCCAGCCGCCGCGGUAAAACCAGCUCUUCAAGUGGUCGGGAUAAUUAUUGGGCUUAAAGUGUCCGUAGCCGGUUUAGUAAGUUCCUGGUAAAAUCGGGUAGCUUAACUAUCUGCAUGCUAGGAAUACUGCUAUACUAGAGGGCGGGAGAGGUCUGAGGUACUACAGGGGUAGGGGUGAAAUCUUAUAAUCCUUGUAGGACCACCAGUGGCGAAGGCGUCAGACUGGAACGCGCCUGACGGUGAGGGACGAAAGCCAGGGGAGCGAACCGGAUUAGAUACCCGGGUAGUCCUGGCCGUAAACGAUGCAUACUAGGUGAUGGCACGGCCAUGAGCCAUGUCAGUGCCGUAGGGAAACCGUUAAGUGUGCCGCCUGGGAAGUACGGUCGCAAGGCUAAAACUUAAAGGAAUUGGCGGGGGAGCAC